This 285-nucleotide ribosomal RNA is filed under the name Eolimna minima. Its description in RNAcentral is "partial small subunit ribosomal RNA". It matches the Rfam family "Eukaryotic small subunit ribosomal RNA", at positions 598 to 888 of the family's 1831-position model. The record is from RNAcentral. Lineage: Eukaryota; Bacillariophyta; Bacillariophyceae; Sellaphorales; Sellaphoraceae.
CGUAUAUUAACGUUGUUGCAGUUAAAAAGCUCGUAGUUGGAUUUGUGGUUUGUUGCGCGGUCCCAAUAUUAUGUUGGGUGCUGUUGCGAGGAGCCAUCCUUGGGUGGAAUCUGUGUGGCAUUAGGUUGUCGCGCAGGGGAUGCCCAUCGUUUACUGUGAAAAAAUUAGAGUGUUCAAAGCAGGCUUAUGCCGUUGAAUAUAUUAGCAUGGAAUAAUGAGAUAGGACCUUGGUACUAUUUUGUUGGUUUGCGCACCGAGGUAAUGAUUAAUAGGGACAGUUGGGGG